Molecule: long non-coding RNA, 450 nt
Filed under: Vulpes vulpes (red fox)
Lineage: Eukaryota; Metazoa; Chordata; Mammalia; Carnivora; Canidae
Description: lncRNA (ENSVVUG00000008002.1)
Source: RNAcentral
AACACAGCCAAGUUACUAGGUACCGGGCACCAUGCCUAGUGCUUCAUACAGAUGAACUCAGUUAAAUCACGGUGGCUCUUCAAAUAGGAUCCUCAAGGAAACUCAAGGAGCAACAAAAUUCAAAAUGUAGGUAUGGAGAGAGAAGAUACAAGUCAGAAAUGUGGAAAAGCUCACAGAAAUAUGGGGCUUCUACUCAAUAACCCACCUUUGCUGGAAGACCACCAAAUCCUACCACUUUGUUAUGAUAGAGUCCCCAGUGUCACAGCCCAAUAUCAUUACACAGCCCUCUACUACUCCAGGCUGGCAUGGGGCCUGACUUGCUGCCCACAGCAAGCCGUGAGGAGGUCCCCAGCCAGUGCGGCGCUCUCUGGAAUGAGAGAGGUUGGAGGAGCCAAGAGAAGCAUGCUGAUGAGAACAAAGGGUGACAAGAGACCAAUGAAGUGACUGCAG